GACGAACGCUGGCGGCGUGCCUAAUACAUGCAAGUAGAACGCACAGUUUAUACCGUAGCUUGCUACACCAUAGACUGUGAGUUGCGAACGGGUGAGUAACGCGUAGGUAACCUGCCUGGUAGCGGGGGAUAACUAUUGGAAACGAUAGCUAAUACCGCAUAAUAUUAAUUAUUGCAUGAUAAUUAAUUGAAAGGUGCAAUUGCACCACUACCAGAUGGACCUGCGUUGUAUUAGCUGGUAGGUGAGGUAACGGCUCACCUAGGCGACGAUACAUAGCCGACCUGAGAGGGUGAUCGGCCACACUGGGACUGAGACACGGCCCAGACUCCUACGGGAGGCAGCAGUAGGGAAUCUUCGGCAAUGGACGAAAGUCUGACCGAGCAACGCCGCGUGAGUGAAGAAGGGUUUCGGAUCGUAAAGCGCUGUUGUAAGAGAAGAACGGGUGUGAGAGUGGAAAGUUCACACUGUGACGGUAUCUUAACAGAAAGGGACGGCUAACUACGUG
RNAcentral lists this ribosomal RNA (505 nucleotides) under uncultured bacterium. RNAcentral's name for it is "partial 16S ribosomal RNA". It matches the Rfam family "Bacterial small subunit ribosomal RNA", at positions 28 to 507 of the family's 1533-position model. The record is from RNAcentral.